CCUACGGGAGGCAGCAGUGAGGAAUAUUGGUCAAUGGCCGAGAGGCUGAACCAGCCAAGUCGCGUGAGGGAAGACGGCCCUACGGGUUGUAAACUUCUUUUGUCGGGGAACAAAGGCGGAGACGCGUCUCCGGAUGAGUGUACCCGAAGAAAAAGCAUCGGCUAACUCCGUGCCAGCAGCCGCGGUAAUACGGAGGAUGCGAGCGUUAUCCGGAUUUAUUGGGUUUAAAGGGUGCGCAGGCGGGAGAUCAAGUCAGCGGUAAAAUGUCGGGGCUCAACCCCGGCCGGCCGUUGAAACUGGUUUUCUAGAGUUGGAGAGAAGUAUGCGGAAUUCGUGGUGUAGCGGUGAAAUGCAUAGAUAUCACGAAGAACUCCGAUUGCGAAGGCAGCAUACCGGCUCCAUACUGACGCUGAGGCACGAAAGCGUGGGGAUCGAACAGGAUUAGAUACCCGGGUAGUC
RNAcentral lists this ribosomal RNA (459 nucleotides) under uncultured bacterium. Its description in RNAcentral is "partial 16S ribosomal RNA". It matches the Rfam family "Bacterial small subunit ribosomal RNA", at positions 338 to 795 of the family's 1533-position model. The record is from RNAcentral.